AUUGAACGCUGGCGGCAGGCUUAACACAUGCAAGUCGAGCGGUAGCACAGGGGAGCUUGCUCCCUGGGUGACGAGCGGCGGACGGGUGAGUAAUGUCUGGGAAACUGCCUGAUGGAGGGGGAUAACUACUGGAAACGGUAGCUAAUACCGCAUAACGUCGCAAGACCAAAGAGGGGGACCUUCGGGCCUCUUGCCAUCAGAUGUGCCCAGAUGGGAUUAGCUAGUAGGUGGGGUAAUGGCUCACCUAGGCGACGAUCCCCAGCUGGUCUGAGAGGAUGACCAGCCACACUGGAACUGAGACACGGUCCAGACUCCUACGGGAGGCAGCAGUGGGGAAUAUUGCACAAUGGGCGCAAGCCUGAUGCAGCCAUGCCGCGUGUGUGAAGAAGGCCUUCGGGUUGUAAAGCACUUUCAGCGAGGAGGAAGGUGGUGAACUUAAUACGCUCAUCAAUUGACGUUACUCGCAGAAGAAGCACCGGCUAACUCCGUGCCAGCAGCCGCCGUAA
This 506-nucleotide ribosomal RNA is filed under the name uncultured bacterium. RNAcentral describes it as "partial 16S ribosomal RNA". It matches the Rfam family "Bacterial small subunit ribosomal RNA", at positions 30 to 523 of the family's 1533-position model. The record is from RNAcentral.